AAUAGAUACCCCGGUAGUCCACGCCGUAAACGAUGAGUGCUAAGUGUUAGAGGGUUUCCGCCCUUUGGUGCUGCAGCUAACGCAUUAAGCACUCCGCCUGGGGAGUACGGCCGCAAGGCUGAAACUCAAAGGAAUUGACGGGGGCCCGCACAAGCGGUGGAGCAUGUGGUUUAAUUCGAAGCAACGCGAAGAACCUUACCAGGUCUUGACAUCCUCUGCCAACCCUAGAGAUAAGGCGUUCCCCUUCGGGGGACAGAGUGACAGGUGGUGCAUGGUUGUCGUCAGCUCGUGUCGUGAGAUGUUGGGUUAAGUCCCGCAACGAGCGCAACCCUUGAUCUUAGUUGCCAGCAUUCAGUUGGGCACUCUAAGGUGACUGCCGGUGACAAACCGGAGGAAGGUGGGGAUGACGUCAAAUCAUCAUGCCCCUUAUGACCUGGGCUACACACGUGCUACAAUGGAUGGUACAAAGAGCUGCGAACCCGCGAGGGUAAGCGAAUCUCAUAAAGCCAUUCUCAGUUCGGAUUGUAGG
RNAcentral lists this ribosomal RNA (529 nucleotides) under uncultured bacterium. Its description in RNAcentral is "bacterial SSU rRNA". It matches the Rfam family "Bacterial small subunit ribosomal RNA", at positions 777 to 1304 of the family's 1533-position model. The record is from RNAcentral.